Molecule: transfer RNA, 69 nt
Filed under: Ovis aries (sheep)
Lineage: Eukaryota; Metazoa; Chordata; Mammalia; Artiodactyla; Bovidae
Rfam family: tRNA
About the family: Transfer RNA (tRNA) molecules are approximately 80 nucleotides in length. Their secondary structure includes four short double-helical elements and three loops (D, anti-codon, and T loops).
Source: Rfam by way of RNAcentral
CCUGAUGGCUCAGAUGGUAAAGAACCUGCCUGCAGUGCAGGGGACCCAGGUUCAAUCCCUGGGUCAGGA